RNAcentral lists this ribosomal RNA (301 nucleotides) under uncultured bacterium. RNAcentral's name for it is "partial 16S ribosomal RNA". It matches the Rfam family "Bacterial small subunit ribosomal RNA", at positions 509 to 807 of the family's 1533-position model. The record is from RNAcentral.
CAGUAGCCGCGGUAAUACGUAGGGUGCAAGCGUUAAUCGGAACUACUGGGCGUAAAGCGUGCGCAGGCGGUUAUAUAAGUCAGAUGUGAAAUCCCCGGGCUCAACCUGGGAACUGCAUUUGAGACUGUAUGGCUAGAGUGUGUCAGAGGGGGGUAGAAUUCCACGUGUAGCAGUGAAAUGCGUAGAUAUGUGGAGGAAUACCGAUGGCGAAGGCAGCCCCCUGGGAUAACACUGACGCUCAUGCACGAAAGCGUGGGGAGCAAACAGGAUUAGAGACCCCAGUAGUCCCUGUCUCUUAUAC